UUGGAGGGCAAGUCUGGUGCCAGCAGCCGCGGUAAUUCCAGCUCCAAUAGCGUAUAUUAAAGUUGUUGCAGUUAAAAAGCUCGUAGUUGAAUUUCGGGGUCAGUAGGUUGGUCGUGCCACUGGUACGUACUGGUCUCACUGAUUCCUCCUUCCUGAUGAACCGUAAUGCCAUUAAUUUGGUGUUGCGGGGAAACUGGACUGUUACUUCGAAAAAAUUAGAGUGUUUAAAGCAGGCUAACGCUUGAAUACAUUAGCAUGGAAUAAUGAAAUAGGGCGUUCGAUCCUAUUUUGUUGGUUUCUAGGAUUGACGUAAUGAUUAAUAGGGACAGUUGGGGGCAUUAGUAUUCAAUUGUCAGAGGUGAAAUUCUUGGAUUUAUUGAAGACUAACUACUGCGAAAGCAUUUGCCAAGGAUGUUUUCAUUAAUCAAGAACGAAAGUUAGGGGAUCGAAGACGAUCAGAUACCGUCGUAGUCUUAACCAUAAACUAUGCCGACUAGGGAUCGGAUGAUGUUAAUUUUUUAAUGACUCAUUCGGCACCUUACGGGAAAC
Molecule: ribosomal RNA, 549 nt
Filed under: uncultured Glomus
Lineage: Eukaryota; Fungi; Glomeromycota; Glomeromycetes; Glomerales; Glomeraceae
Description: SSU rRNA
Rfam family: Eukaryotic small subunit ribosomal RNA
Source: RNAcentral